GACGAACGCUGGCGGCGUGCUUAACACAUGCAAGUCGAACGGAAAGGCCCUGCUUUUGUGGGUUGCUCGAGUGGCGAACGGGUGAGUAACACGUGAGUAACCUGCCCUUGACUUUGGGAUAACUUCAGGAAACUGGGGCUAAUACCGGAUAGGAGCUCCUGCUGCAUGUUGUGGGUUGGAAAGUUUCGGCGGUUCGGGAUGGACUCGCGGCUUAUCAGCUUGUUGGUGGGGUAGUGGCUUACCAAGGCUAUGACGGGUAGCCGGCCUGAGAGGGUGACCGGCCACAUUGGGACUGAGAUACGGCCCAGACUCCUACGGGAGGCAGCAGUGGGGAAUAUUGCACAAUGGGCGGAAGCCUGAUGCAGCAACGCCGCGUGCGGGAUGACGGCCUUCGGGUUGUAAACCGCUUUCGCCUGUGACGAAGCGUGAGUGACGGUAAUGGGUAAAGAAGCACCGGCUAACUACGUG
This 468-nucleotide ribosomal RNA is filed under the name uncultured bacterium. Its description in RNAcentral is "partial 16S ribosomal RNA". It matches the Rfam family "Bacterial small subunit ribosomal RNA", at positions 28 to 507 of the family's 1533-position model. The record is from RNAcentral.